Molecule: ribosomal RNA, 514 nt
Filed under: uncultured bacterium
Lineage: Bacteria
Description: bacterial SSU rRNA
Rfam family: Bacterial small subunit ribosomal RNA
Source: RNAcentral
AACGCUGGCGGCGUGCCUAAUACAUGCAAGUCGAACGGUCUUUCUAUGGAAGCUUGCUUCCACUGAGAAGAUAGUGGCGAACGGGUGAGUAACACGUGGGUAACCUGCCCAUAAGAGGGGGGAUAACAUCCGGAAACGGGUGCUAAUACCGCAUAGUUUUCUUGAUCGCAUGAUCGGGAAAGGAAAGACGGCCUUUGUGCUGUCGCUUAUGGAUGGACCCGCGGCGUAUUAGUUAGUUGGUGGGGUAACGGCUCACCAAGACGAUGAUACGUAGCCGACCUGAGAGGGUGAUCGGCCACAUUGGGACUGAGACACGGCCCAAACUCCUACGGGAGGCAGCAGUAGGGAAUCUUCCGCAAUGGACGAAAGUCUGACGGAGCAACGCCGCGUGAGUGAAGAAAGGUUUUCGGAUCGUAAAACUCUGUUGUCAGAGAAGAACAAGUUGGAGAGUAACUGCUCCAGCCUUGACGGUAUCUGACCAGAAAGCCACGGCUAACUACGUGCCAGCCGCCGC